AGUCUGGUGCCAGCAGCCGCGGUAAUUCCAGCUCCAGUAGCGUAUGUUAAAGUUGUUGUGGUUAAAAAGCUCGUAGUUGGAUACCAGAUAAUUUAGGUCAGGAUCACCGCAAUGGUGUAUUCAAGCCUGAGUUUCUUAUUUUCUGGGUGCAGACCAAUUGGGGUAUGGAUGGCCUUCUGGUUGUUCUUAUCUCAAUUGGACCAUCUGUUCCAGAUCGUUUACCUUGAAAAAAAUUAGAGUGUUUAAAGCAGGCGUAACUAGCCUUGAAUAUAUUAGCAUGGGAUAAUAGAAUACGACUGUGGUCCUAUUCUUGUUUGGUUUUAGGACUACAGUAAUGAUUGACAGGGAUAGUUGGGGUCACUCGUAUUGAGUUGUUAGAGGUGAAAUUCUAGGAUUGACUCAAGACGGACUACUGCGAAAGCAUUUGACAAGGAUGUUUUCAUUAAUCAAGAACGAAAGUUGGGGGAUCGAAGAUGAUCAGAUACCGUCGUAGUCUCAACCAUAAACUAUGUCAACUAGGGAUCCGAUGAUGUUACAUGGAUGACUCAUCAGGCACCUUGUGAGAAAUCACAAGUAUUUGGAUUCCAGGGGGAGUAUGGUCGCAAGGCUGAAACUUAAAGGAAUUGACGGAAGGGCACCACCAGGAGUGGAACCUGCGGCUCAAUUUGACCCAACACGGGGAAACUCACCAGGUCCGGACACAGGGAGGAUUGACAGAUUGAGAGCUCUUUCUUGAUUCUGUGGUAGGUGGUGCAUGGCCGUUUUUAGUUGGUGGAGUGAUUUGUCUGGUUUAUUCCGAUAACGAUCGAGACCUUAACUUACUAAAUAGUGAUGUUAACCUGGCUUUCGAGCCUUUCAGUUGAUAUUUUAGAUUACUUCUCAGAAGGACACUUCACAUUAUAAGUGAAUGGAAGUUUGAGGCUAAAACAGGUCUGUGAUGCCCUUCGAUGUUCUGGGCUGCACGCGCGUUACACUGACACAUGCAACGAGUUAGUCCUUUCCUGAAGAGGUUGGGUAAACUUUUAAAGUGUGUCGAGAUGGGGAUAGAACCUUGCAAUUAUUGUUCUUAAACGAGGAAUUCCUAGUAAGCGUGAGUCAUCAACUCGCGCUGAUUACGUCCCUGCCCUUUGUACACACCGCCCGUCGCUCCUACCGAUUGAAUAGUGAGGUAAGGACUUAGGAUGGUGGAGUAAUCAUGUUGAAAGACAUGAUCUCAUGCC
RNAcentral lists this ribosomal RNA (1220 nucleotides) under metagenome. Its description in RNAcentral is "SSU rRNA". It matches the Rfam family "Eukaryotic small subunit ribosomal RNA", at positions 558 to 1749 of the family's 1831-position model. The record is from RNAcentral.